RNAcentral lists this long non-coding RNA (326 nucleotides) under Anas zonorhyncha (Eastern spot-billed duck). RNAcentral's name for it is "lncRNA (ENSAZOG00000011401.1)". Lineage: Eukaryota; Metazoa; Chordata; Aves; Anseriformes; Anatidae. The record is from RNAcentral.
GGGGGGGAUAACGGGGUCUAAGGGGGCGUGCCCUUUGGGGGCGUGGCCUAUGUGGGCGUGGCUUCAGUGGGCGUGGCAUAUAUGGACACACCCCUUUAGGACCCAUCCCUUUAGGACCCACCCCAUACGGACCCACCCCAUUGGCUCCCUUGGGGGGCGUGGCCUGGGUGGGCGUGUCCUAUGUGGGCGUGGCUUAUAAGGGCGUGGCUUACAUGGGCGUGGCCUAACUGGGCGUGGCCUAACUGGGCGUGUCCUAGGUGGGCGUGGCUUAUAUGGACCCACCCCUUUAGGACCCAUCCCAUAGGGACGCCACCCAUUGGGUCUGU